GACGUAGGAUGCAAGCGUUGUCCGGAAUUAUUGGGCGUAAAGCGUUCGUAGGCGGUCUGUAAAGUCUGAUGUUAAAUCCCAGAGCUCAACUCUGGUUCAGCAUUGGAUACUCACAGACUUGAGUGCAGGAGAGGCAAGGGGAAUUCCUAGUGUAGCGGUGAAAUGCGUAGAUAUUAGGAGGAACACCGGUGGCGAAAGCGCCUUGCUGGACUGUUACUGACGCUGAGGGACGAAAGCCAGGGGAGCAAAUGGG
RNAcentral lists this ribosomal RNA (253 nucleotides) under uncultured bacterium. RNAcentral describes it as "partial 16S ribosomal RNA". It matches the Rfam family "Bacterial small subunit ribosomal RNA", at positions 524 to 776 of the family's 1533-position model. The record is from RNAcentral.